Molecule: ribosomal RNA, 424 nt
Filed under: uncultured bacterium
Lineage: Bacteria
Description: bacterial SSU rRNA
Rfam family: Bacterial small subunit ribosomal RNA
Source: RNAcentral
GAAUUUUGGACAAUGGGCGCAAGCCUGAUCCAGCCAUGCCGCGUGUGUGAAGAAGGCCUUCGGGUUGUAAAGCACUUUCGGACGGAACGAAAUCGCGCGGGUGAAUAUCCCGCGUGGAUGACGGUACCGUAAGAAGAAGCACCGGCUAACUACGUGCCAGCAGCCGCGGUAAUACGUAGGGUGCGAGCGUUAAUCGGAAUUACUGGGCGUAAAGUGUGCGCAGGCGGCGCCGCAUGUCGAGUGUGAAAGCCCCGGGCUUAACUUGGGAAUUGCGCUCGAAACUACGGUGCUGGAGUGUGGCAGAGGAAGGUGGAAUUCCACGUGUAGCGGUGAAAUGCGUAGAGAUGUGGAGGAACACCGAUGGCGAAGGCAGCCUUCUGGGCCAACACUGACGCUCAUGCACGAAAGCGUGGGGAGCAAACAG